Molecule: non-coding RNA, 72 nt
Organism: Parelaphostrongylus tenuis
Lineage: Eukaryota; Metazoa; Nematoda; Chromadorea; Rhabditida; Metastrongylidae
Source: the annotation of a GenBank genome assembly
UCCCCGGUGGUCCAGUGCUGAGACUCCAUGCUUCCAAUGCAGGGGGCCCAAGUUCGAUCCCUGGUUGGGAAA